This 235-nucleotide ribosomal RNA is filed under the name Phenacephorus cornucervi. RNAcentral's name for it is "partial 12S ribosomal RNA". Lineage: Eukaryota; Metazoa; Arthropoda; Insecta; Phasmatodea; Lonchodidae. The record is from RNAcentral.
UAAACUAGGAUUAGAUACCCUAUUAUUUUAAAUAUAAAAUUUUACCUAGGUAUUAAUAGUUUUGUUCUUUAAACCUAAAGAAUUUGGCGGUGUUUUAGUCUUUUCAGAGGAAUUUGUUUCAUAAUCGAUACUCCACGUUUUAUCUUUCUUUAUUUUGUUAAUCAGUAUGUAUAUCUCCGUUAUAAGUUUAUUUUUGUAGAAUAAUUUACUUUAUAUUAUAUUAUAUUUUAUUUCA